Molecule: unclassified non-coding RNA, 140 nt
Filed under: uncultured Helotiales
Lineage: Eukaryota; Fungi; Ascomycota; Leotiomycetes; Helotiales
Description: sequence contains ITS2
Source: RNAcentral
AACCCAUCAAGCCUGGCUUGGUAUUGGGGCCCGCCUACCAGCGGCCUCUAAACGCAGUGGCGGUGCCGUUGGGCUCUCAGCGUAGUAAUUCUUCUCGCUAUAGGGUCUUGCGGUUGCUUGCCAUAACCCCAAUUUUUUAA